Molecule: long non-coding RNA, 615 nt
Organism: Engraulis encrasicolus (European anchovy)
Lineage: Eukaryota; Metazoa; Chordata; Actinopteri; Clupeiformes; Engraulidae
Exons: 3
Source: RefSeq, a predicted model, not a curated record
GGGCCAAGCAAAGAUGACAGCGGCCCUGCCCUACGGAGACGGUUGACACGCAUGCUCAUUUACGUGAGACCGACUUCAUCCUGGGAAUCUUUUCGGCGGGACCAGUCUAGUAAUGAACCUGGACUUGAUGUACUAUCUACUGAACUAGGAUAUUGUGCUGUGUAUUUUGCAUUAAGGAGGAUCCAUCAGCUCACUAACACGGGUGAUGGACAGGGACCAAAGAGGAGGCUCUACAACAUGAGGACAGACUGCGAUCCUCAAGCAGUCAGUCCAUGAGCCCACGUCUUCAGGCCAGGGACCCGAGAGGAAAAACAAGCAUUUGAUUACCACUCUCGUAUAAGGUCAGUCCAUAAAAAUCAAAUGUGUGUGUGUGCGCGUGCCCGCCCGCCUAUGUUUCUGAGUGUGCAUGUGCUACAAGCAAACUUAUGCCAAUUUUUUGUUUCGUUUUUCUUGAUUAUUUAGGUAAAUCAGUGAAAUAAUAUAAUUUGCAUAAUACUGAACUUUUUAACCCUGUGUAUAUGUACAGCAGGACAUAAACAUUUGACAUUUGAUCUCACUCUCGUUACAGGUCAGUCCAUGUGCCACGUUCCAGCCAGGGACCAAAAGGGGGGCUUU